Molecule: long non-coding RNA, 552 nt
Filed under: Anas platyrhynchos platyrhynchos (common mallard)
Lineage: Eukaryota; Metazoa; Chordata; Aves; Anseriformes; Anatidae
Description: lncRNA (ENSAPLG00000022729.1)
Source: RNAcentral
AGCGGUGAGGCCGCUCGGGGUCGGCGUCGCCUUGAAUUUUGGGGUCGCCUCCAGUUUUGGGGUCACCACGGGGUUUGGGGUCACCACGGGGUUUGGUGUCACCACAGGGUUUGGCGUCGCCUUGAAUUUUGGCAUCACCUUGAAUUUUGGGGUCACCACAGGGUUUGGUGUCACCUCGAAUUUUGGUGUCACCUCCAAUUUUGGUGUUGCCGUGAGUUUGAGCGUUGCCAGGAGGCCGGGUGCCACCACGAAGGGCGGCGUCACCGUGACGUCCACCAUGGCGUCCAACGUCGCCAUCACCAAGAGGUUCACCAUGAGGUUCACCAUGACCAUAAGGUUCACCAUGACCAUGAGGUUCACCGUUCACCAUGAGGUUCACCAUGACCACGAGGUCCACCAUGAGGUCCACCAUGACGUUCACCAUCACCAUGAGGUUCAUCAUGACCAUGACCAUGACGUUCACCAUCACCACAAGGUUCACCAUGCCCAUGCCGUUGACCACCACCACCACGUUCCCCACCACCACGAGGCCCCCCACCAGGUUCCCCCCCA